GCAAGUAGGACGGGCCCGCGAGGGUCAGUGGCAAACGGGUGAGUAACACGUGGGUAACCUGCCGAGGAGUGGGGAAUAGCUCUCCGAAAGGGGAGAUAAUACCGCAUGAUAUCCCGGGAUUAGGUUUUCGGGAUCAAAGCCUUCGGGCGCUCUUUGAGGGGCCCGCGGUCGAUUAGCUAGUUGGUGGGGUAGAUUCCUCCCAAGGCGAGGGAAAAUAGUUGGUUUGAGAGGACGAUCAGCCACACUGGGACUUAAUCCUGCCCAGAGGAUACGGNAGCAGCAGUCGAGUUGAGUAAACUCGACCAUCCG
This 309-nucleotide small RNA is filed under the name uncultured bacterium. RNAcentral's name for it is "bacterial SSU rRNA". It matches the Rfam family "Bacterial small subunit ribosomal RNA", at positions 57 to 357 of the family's 1533-position model. The record is from RNAcentral.